UUUUUUUGUUUUAUAUUUCAUUACAUACUUUGACUAAUGUUUAAAAUGAAGCCGCAAGGUAAGUUCACUCGAAAGUUUCAUUACCUCGCCAUCAAGUGCACAGUGUUAGAAGUGGAGGUCAGGCUCUACAAGUAGACGCCCUAUAAUUCACUAAUGAUCCUUCCGCAGGUUCACCUACGGAAA
RNAcentral lists this unclassified non-coding RNA (183 nucleotides) under uncultured fungus. RNAcentral's name for it is "sequence contains ITS1". The record is from RNAcentral. Lineage: Eukaryota; Fungi.